This 21-nucleotide non-coding RNA is filed under the name Caenorhabditis elegans. The record is from RNAcentral. Lineage: Eukaryota; Metazoa; Nematoda; Chromadorea; Rhabditida; Rhabditidae.
UAAUUGAUUUUAUGGUUGAAU